This 165-nucleotide ribosomal RNA is filed under the name uncultured bacterium. RNAcentral describes it as "partial 16S rRNA". It matches the Rfam family "Bacterial small subunit ribosomal RNA", at positions 355 to 511 of the family's 1533-position model. The record is from RNAcentral.
UAGGGAAUCUUCGGCAAUGGACGAAAGUCUGACCGAGCAACGCCGCGUGAGUGAAGAAGGUUUUCGGAUCGUAAAACUCUGUUGGUAGAGAAGAACGUUGGUGAGAGUGGAAAGCUCAUCAAGUGACGGUAACUACCCUGAAAGGGACGGCUAACUACGUGCUAG